UGUCGAUGUGACAGAACAGAUGAUUUGUCGAAGAGAUAAACUUCCAGAAACGUGAGAUUCUCUGUCGGCAAUGAGUUCACCGAUUUCCGAUUUCUCAAGUCAAGUUAUCUCACUAUGCUUGCCGGUAAAUCGCAGCAAGACGGGAAGCCACCCGGAAUCCCGGUGUAAACUGUGGCAAUAUCCCGUUGGGAAACCGGGCGAAAUCUCAGCAAGCGGGAAUAUCAGCAAGAUGCCCGCUGUUCAGGAAGUCGGAACCAAAACCGUCUCUCCAAGAACCUUUUUUCUUGCUCUAAAUUCUGGGUAAAUACUCGGAUGCUUCUACACUCUUGCUCAGCUGGGAGCGGUUUAUUUGUUUUUAUUAAAAACUGGAUCAUUGGAUAGUGCAGUUCAAGAGUUUUAUGUGGGUUAUGAGCCAUAAUACCAUGCCUCUACAAAUAUGGUUCGUGUACUCGUAACAUUGCGUUUGUUCUUAUAAAUAAAGUUAGGAAAAUUUAUCUA
This is a long non-coding RNA of Pocillopora damicornis (cauliflower coral), 498 nucleotides long. RefSeq lists it as uncharacterized. The record is from RefSeq and is a predicted model, not a curated record. Lineage: Eukaryota; Metazoa; Cnidaria; Anthozoa; Scleractinia; Pocilloporidae.